Molecule: long non-coding RNA, 3376 nt
Organism: Oncorhynchus tshawytscha (Chinook salmon)
Lineage: Eukaryota; Metazoa; Chordata; Actinopteri; Salmoniformes; Salmonidae
Source: Ensembl
GGAUGAUUUAUGGUCUGCAAUGAUGAGGAUGAUUUAUGGUCUGCAAUGAUGAGGAUGAUUUAUGGUCUGCAAUGAUGAGGAUGAUUUAUGGUCUGCAAUAAUGAGGAUGAUUUAUGGUCUGCAAUAAUGAGGAUGAUUCAUGGUCUGCAAUGAGGAGGAUGAUUCAUGGUCUGCAAUGAGGAUGAGGAUGAUUUAUGGUCUGCAAUCAGGAUGAGGAUGAUUUAUGGUCUGCAAUGAUGAGGAUGAUUCAUGGUCUGCAAUGAUGAGGAUGAUUCAUGGUUUGCAGUGACGGUGACUCGUGGUCUGCAGUGGUUUUGGACACGUUGUGCUUUGGUUGACAUGCAAAAUGUAUUCAAAUUUGUUAAGAGACUAAGCUUGGCAUUGAUCUGACAUAGAGCAGCGGGUAAUGGUCAUAGACUACAGGCUAUUUUAGGAUUCUGUACACCAUGGUUGUCUAAAGGGAAAUGGUUGUCCACAGAACAAGUGACCCCCCCCCCCCAAAAAAAAACCAGACAUUUGAGACGAAAUAAAUCCAGAAAAGAAUGAAACAUCACUAACAUGUGAAGAAGCAUUUAUAUAUUAGUAGUCUUUGUUUUUGUUUUGUUUUUUCGGGUGUACUUUUGUGUGCAGUCUAUCAACAAAGACUACCAGAAUAGUAAGAUAUUAUACAAAUCGGUGGAUUAAAUAUAUAUUUCUAAUUGUGAAAAAUGAAAAUGCACUCCUAUUCACUGAAGUGCCAAUCCUGACCAACUAAAGACUUGAGGUUGAUUAAACAUAUUUUGAGUUGGUGAUCAUAAUCUUUUCUUUUCUUGAAUGUGCACGUUUGUAGUGCAAAAUACUGUUGAUGUUUUUUUUUUUCUCCUUAUCUUCUAGUUCCAUGACUUGCCGUGGUUUCUCUAAACAAGUGGCAUUCUUUACUGCUUUUGCACAAAAAAAAAAAAAAAAAAAACUGGGAUUGAGUCAGAACAGAGGAAUAAUUUAAUCGUCAAAAAAAAAAAAAAAAGUAUUUUAUUCUAUCAUGGUGAUCCGUCUAAAGUGAAUAAUGAUGUUCUUCCAUUUGAAUGUGUUGUUUUCACUGUUCAGACCUCACGCUGAUGCAACUGCAGGACCGCCAGUCCACACAUGGGUUUGAUUAGAGAAAGGCAGAGCCAACAAGUGUAAUUUUAGGCUGAGAACAGACUGCAUUGCACAUUAGUAGGUCCCUGAGUUUUUCCUUAGUCGGGUAAUAUGGUCUGGAAAAGCUCCGAGCCCAGGCCAAUACAGGGCCACGUUCAGUAGCUAAACGUUGCAGAUAGAGGAGCCAACGUGAUUCAUUCUACAUUUUAGAGGCAUGUUUGUUCUACAUAGCAUAUUUCUAUCUUACUGUUCUAAACUGUUGUGCCCUGCUGAAUGGUCUGCUCAACUUGAACUUCCACGUUGGCACGACCCAUCUACCCACAAACAGCCACAUAAUGCACGACCCAUCUACCCACAAACGGCUACAUAAUGCACGACCCAUCUACCCACAAACAGCUACAUAAUGCACGACCCAUCUACCCACAAGCAGCCACCAGCUAAUUCAAAAUGGAGAAGACUUUUUUUGUUUCUUCUUUAAAAAAAAAAUUAAAAAAAAUUGUUGACUUUGUGGUGCUUUGCCAUUGCAUGUACAUUGACUUGGAUAUGGAGGGUAUAUAAUUAUUAUUGGCUGUCCAGACCCAGUCACUCAAUCAACCAAUCACUUGUCCAGAGACAGCUUUCAGCUAUCUCUUGAUUUAGCACAAUGAAUCAGAAGCUACAUCCUUGGCUGAGAAUGAACCAACCAAUCAGAGCUGCAAUAGAAUCUUCUCUAAAAGUCAACCAUCCCCAGGGAUUCAUUUAAGACUGCUCCCAAAAGUGCAUCCUAUUUCCUAUCUAACGUUCCUACUUUUAGAACAGGGGUCCAUGGGGCUCUGGUGAAAAGUAGUGCAGUAAAUAAGGAAUAGACAUGUCAUUUGGGACAGAACCUUCUUUCCUUCCUCCCUUCUCCCGCUUCAGUGCAAUUAACAGAGCUGAAUGAAUCCGACACAUGCCUAAUGAUUUCUGCAAAGUGCUGAAAUGCUUCAUAUGGCAAUAGUAGAAGGGACAGGAGGUUUUUCCUUGACCAGGAGAAAAUCAAAUGUUAUUUGAGACCAUUGUCCAAUACACCAGGUGUAGAUCUUACAGUGAAAUGCUUUUCAAGCCCUCAACCAGUUUUAAGAAGAAAGUGUUAAAAGUGUUUAUUUACUAAAAUGACUGUGUCCCAAAUGGCAGAAAUAUUCCCUAUAGCAGGGGUAUUUUCUCUUCUACUUGAUAAUUAAUUGCACACAUCUGGUGUCCCAGGUCUAAAUCAGUCCCUGGUUAGAGGGGAAUCACCCACCUGGUGUCCCAGGUCUAAAUCAGUCCCUAUUAGAAGGGAACAAUGAAAUAGUGCAGUGAAACUGGCUUCGAGGUCCAGCGUUGAGUUUGAGGGCCCUAUAUAGUGCACUACUUUUGACCAGAAUCCUAUUGGCCAUGGUCAAAAGUAGUGCACUAUAUAUGGAAUGGGGUGCCAUUUGGGGAUCAAAAGUAGUGCACUAUAUAGGGAAUAGGGUGCCAUUUGGGAGGGCCUACUGGGUUGUAGUUAUUUGCUAUAGUGUUUCCCUGUCAGGCCCUAUGGUCAGGAAUAACUCCUACCCCUAGGCAAAGAUUUGAAAAAAGAAUAAAGAUAACAUUUAAAUGGGACUUUUCUUGUCGUCCGUCCUAGAUCCUGUAAAUGUGUAUAUCUCCGAAAAUCUCAAGCCACACCUUUUAGUGCUCAGCUUUGUCAAAAUAAUGCUCUCUGUUCUACAAUUGUUUACAAUGCAAACACGUUUGUAAAGUAUUUUUCACAUGUCAUAACUGACCAGUCUUGGUGUAUACUCUUUGAUCCUCUCAUUUUAUCUUUCGCAAUGUAUUUAUUUCUAAAAACAAAUAUCUUACUUUUUAUUAUUUUUUAUUUUUGUUUAUUUUUUUUAGCUUUUUGAUAACCCAUCUUGUACUGUGACUUGACUUGACCGACGAUAUGAAUGAGUGACACGAAACUGAUACGCUUCAACGGAACAUGACACAAGAAUACAUAAACAACAACAAAAAUGCAUUAACAAAUAUUGGAAAUGUGUACAAGUGAAAGUUGUGGAAACUGUAAGAUAUAUAUAUAUAUAUUAAAACAAAUGUUGCAACCCUUUUAAUGUCUGAUUUUCCAUUGCUUGAACAUGUUUUGAAUGACAAAAAGAUACCAAAAUGUGAAAGCAUUUUGCUUCUGUAUGUGUGAGAAGAAACUAUACUGAACAAAAAUAUAAACGCAACAUGAAAAGUGUUGGUCCCAUGUUUCACGAGCUGAAAUAAAAUAUCCCAGAAAUGU